This 57-nucleotide transfer RNA is filed under the name Bemisia tabaci. RNAcentral describes it as "tRNA-Ser". The record is from RNAcentral. Lineage: Eukaryota; Metazoa; Arthropoda; Insecta; Hemiptera; Aleyrodidae.
AAGUCAAUUAUAUUAGUGUUUUGAAAGCAUUAUUUAGGUGAAUGGGCCUUUGACUUU